This 434-nucleotide ribosomal RNA is filed under the name uncultured bacterium. RNAcentral's name for it is "partial 16S ribosomal RNA". It matches the Rfam family "Bacterial small subunit ribosomal RNA", at positions 29 to 507 of the family's 1533-position model. The record is from RNAcentral.
AGCGAACGCUGGCGGCAGGCCUAACACAUGCAAGUCGAACGAACCUUUCGGGGUUAGUGGCGGACGGGUGAGUAACACGUGGGAACGUGCCUUUAGGUUCGGAAUAACUCAAGGAAACUUGUGCUAAUACCGAAUGUGCCCUUCGGGGGAAAGAUUUAUCGCCUUUAGAGCGGCCCGCGUCUGAUUAGCUAGUUGGUUGAGGUAAUGGCUCACCAAGGCGACGUUCAGUAGAUGGUCUGAGAGGAUGUUAAGCCACCAUGGGGCUGAGACCCGGCCCAAAAUCCUACGGGAGGGAGGAAUGGGGGAUGUUGCGCAAUGGGGGGAAGGCUGAAGGAGCCAUGCCCGUGGAAUUAUGAAAGUAUUAGGAUUGUAAAAUUCUUUCACCGGGGAAGAUAAUGACGGUACCCGGAGAAGAAGCCCCGGCUAACUUCGUG